AUGCACCUCCUGUUUCUCAGCGAGUCAUCCUUGAUAUGUUUACCCUAAUCGGUAACGGAUGCCUCUCUGUCAGAGAACAUUAUCUUCUUACCCAGUAACCGGUAAUAGAUAAUAUAUUUCCAGUACUCCUGUGUUGAAGAUCUUUUCUUCUUCCCCAAUUAGGUUUGAGUGUGUAUUUCCUCAAUGAAGUCGCCAAUCCCCUGUUUGGUUCGAGUAUUUCAG
Molecule: long non-coding RNA, 222 nt
Filed under: Lathyrus oleraceus (garden pea)
Lineage: Eukaryota; Viridiplantae; Streptophyta; Magnoliopsida; Fabales; Fabaceae
Description: Pisum sativum (pea) long non-coding RNA (PSAT_LNC029841)
Source: RNAcentral